ACUAUUUUGGCAGAAAAAGUGCAAUAAACUUAGAAUUUAUUUAUGUAAUUUGUAUUACAAGUAGUA
RNAcentral lists this transfer RNA (66 nucleotides) under Largus sp. Its description in RNAcentral is "tRNA-Leu". The record is from RNAcentral. Lineage: Eukaryota; Metazoa; Arthropoda; Insecta; Hemiptera; Largidae.